GAAGGUCACGGCGAGACGAGCCGUUUAUCAUUACGAUAGGUGUCAAGUGGAAGUGCAGUGAUGUAUGCAGCUGAGGCAUCCUAACAGACCGGUAGACUUGAACCUUGUUCCUACAUGACCCGAUCAAUUCGAUCAGGUACUCGCCAUCUAUUUUUAUUGUUCAACUCUUUGACAACAUGAAAAAAAAACCAAAAGCUCUGCCCUCCCUCUCUAUCGAUCCAAGUGAUGGAAGGGCAG
RNAcentral lists this ribosomal RNA (237 nucleotides) under Salix psammophila. RNAcentral's name for it is "4.5S ribosomal RNA". Lineage: Eukaryota; Viridiplantae; Streptophyta; Magnoliopsida; Malpighiales; Salicaceae. The record is from RNAcentral.